RNAcentral lists this ribosomal RNA (1372 nucleotides) under uncultured bacterium. RNAcentral's name for it is "bacterial SSU rRNA". It matches the Rfam family "Bacterial small subunit ribosomal RNA", at positions 28 to 1381 of the family's 1533-position model. The record is from RNAcentral.
GAUGAACGCUGGCGGCGUGCCCAAUACAUGCAAGUCGAGCGAACGGACGAGAAGCUUGCUUUUCUGAUGUUAGCGGCGGACGGGUGAGUAACACGUGGAUAACCUACCUAUAAGACUGGGAUAACUUCGGGAAACCGGAGCUAAUACCGGAUAAUAUUUUGAACCGCAUGGUUCAAAAGUGAAAGACGGUCUUGCUGUCACUUAUAGAUGGAUCCGCGCUGCAUUAGCUAGUUGGUAAGGUAACGGCUUACCAAGGCAACGAUGCAUAGCCGACCUGAGAGGGUGAUCGGCCACACUGGAACUGAGACACGGUCCAGACUCCUACGGGAGGCAGCAGUAGGGAAUCUUCCGCAAUGGGCGAAAGCCUGACGGAGCAACGCCGCGUGAGUGAUGAAGGUCUUCGGAUCGUAAAACUCUGUUAUUAGGGAAGAACAUAUGUGUAAGUAACUGUGCACAUCUUGACGGUACCUAAUCAGAAAGCCACGGCUAACUACGUGCCAGCAGCCGCGGUAAUACGUAGGUGGCAAGCGUUAUCCGGAAUUAUUGGGCGUAAAGCGCGCGUAGGCGGUUUUUUAAGUCUGAUGUGAAAGCCCACGGCUCAACCGUGGAGGGUCAUUGGAAACUGGAAAACUUGAGUGCAGAAGAGGAAAGUGGAAUUCCAUGUGUAGCGGUGAAAUGCGCAGAGAUGUGGAGGAACACCAGUGGCGAAGGCGACUUUCUGGUCUGUAACUGACGCUGAUGUGCGAAAGCGUGGGGAUCAAACAGGAUUAGAUACCCUGGUAGUCCACGCCGUAAACGAUGAGUGCUAAGUGUUAGGGGGUUUCCGCCCCUUAGUGCUGCAGCUAACGCAUUAAGCACUCCGCCUGGGGAGUACGACCGCAAGGUUGAAACUCAAAGGAAUUGACGGGGGCCCGCACAAGCGGUGGAGCAUGUGGUUUAAUUCGAAGCAACGCGAAGAACCUUACCAAAUCUUGACAUCCUUUGACAACUCUAGAGAUAGAGCCUUCCCCUUCGGGGGACAAAGUGACAGGUGGUGCAUGGUUGUCGUCAGCUCGUGUCGUGAGAUGUUGGGUUAAGUCCCGCAACGAGCGCAACCCUUAAGCUUAGUUGCCAUCAUUAAGUUGGGCACUCUAAGUUGACUGCCGGUGACAAACCGGAGGAAGGUGGGGAUGACGUCAAAUCAUCAUGCCCCUUAUGAUUUGGGCUACACACGUGCUACAAUGGACAAUACAAAGGGCAGCGAAACCGCGAGGUCAAGCAAAUCCCAUAAAGUUGUUCUCAGUUCGGAUUGUAGUCUGCAACUCGACUACAUGAAGCUGGAAUCGCUAGUAAUCGUAGAUCAGCAUGCUACGGUGAAUACGUUCCCGGGUCU